This 260-nucleotide ribosomal RNA is filed under the name uncultured bacterium. RNAcentral's name for it is "partial 16S ribosomal RNA". It matches the Rfam family "Bacterial small subunit ribosomal RNA", at positions 793 to 1055 of the family's 1533-position model. The record is from RNAcentral.
GUCCACGCCGUAAACGAUGAGUACUAGCUGUAUGGGGUAUCGACUCCCUGUGUAGCGAAGCUAACGCGAUAAGUACUCCGCCUGGGGACUACGACCGCAAGGUUAAACUCAAAGGAAUUGACGGGGCCCGCACAAGCAGCGGAGCGUGCGGUUUAAUUCGAAGCUACGCGAAAACCUUACCAGGGUUUGACAUGGCGUUGACCGCCGAUGAAAGUCGGCUUCCCUUCGGGGCGGCGUCACAGAUGCUGCAUGGCUGUCGU